AGUCGAGCGGUAGCACAGAGAGCUUGCUCUCGGGUGACGAGCGGCGGACGGGUGAGUAAUGUCUGGGAAACUGCCUGAUGGAGGGGGAUAACUACUGGAAACGGUAGCUAAUACCGCAUAACGUCGCAAGACCAAAGUGGGGGACCUUCGGGCCUCAUGCCAUCAGAUGUGCCCAGAUGGGAUUAGCUGGUAGGUGGGGUAACGGCUCACCUAGGCGACGAUCCCUAGCUGGUCUGAGAGGAUGACCAGCCACACUGGAACUGAGACACGGUCCAGACUCCUACGGGAGGCAGCAGUGGGGAAUAUUGCACAAUGGGCGCAAGCCUGAUGCAGCCAUGCCGCGUGUGUGAAGAAGGCCUUCGGGUUGUAAAGCACUUUCAGCGGGGAGGAAGGCGGUGAGGUUAAUAACCUCACCGAUUGACGUUACCCGCAGAAGAAGCACCGGCUAACUCCGUGCCAGCAGCCGCGGUAAUACGGAGGGUGCAAGCGUUAAUCGGAAUUACUGGGCGUAAAGCGCACGCAGGCGGUCUGUCAAGUCGGAUGUGAAAUCCCCGGGCUCAACCUGGGAACUGCAUUCGAAACUGGCAGGCUAGAGUCUUGUAGAGGGGGGUAGAAUUCCAGGUGUAGCGGUGAAAUGCGUAGAGAUCUGGAGGAAUACCGGUGGCGAAGGCGGCCCCCUGGACAAAGACUGACGCUCAGGUGCGAAAGCGUGGGGAGCAAACAGGAUUAGAUACCCUGGUAGUCCACGCUGUAAACGAUGUCGAUUUGGAGGUUGUGCCCUUGAGGCGUGGCUUCCGGAGCUAACGCGUUAAAUCGACCGCCUGGGGAGUACGGCCGCAAGGUUAAAACUCAAAUGAAUUGACGGGGGCCCGCACAAGCGGUGGAGCAUGUGGUUUAAUUCGAUGCAACGCGAAGAACCUUACCUGGUCUUGACAUCCACAGAACUUUCCAGAGAUGGAUUGGUGCCUUCGGGAACUGUGAGACAGGUGCUGCAUGGCUGUCGUCAGCUCGUGUUGUGAAAUGUUGGGUUAAGUCCCGCAACGAGCGCAACCCUUAUCCUUUGUUGCCAGCGGUCCGGCCGGGAACUCAAAGGAGACUGCCAGUGAUAAACUGGAGGAAGGUGGGGAUGACGUCAAGUCAUCAUGGCCCUUACGACCAGGGCUACACACGUGCUACAAUGGCAUAUACAAAGAGAAGCGACCUCGCGAGAGCAAGCGGACCUCAUAAAGUAUGUCGUAGUCCGGAUUGGAGUCUGCAACUCGACUCCAUGAAGUCGGAAUCGCUAGUAAUCGUAGAUCAGAAUGCUACGGUGAAUACGUUCCCGGGCCUUGUACACACCGCCCGUCACACCAUGGGAGUGGGUUGCAAAAGAAGUAGGUAGCUUAACCUCGGAGGGCGCU
RNAcentral lists this ribosomal RNA (1400 nucleotides) under Klebsiella sp. ICB529. RNAcentral describes it as "16S ribosomal RNA". It matches the Rfam family "Bacterial small subunit ribosomal RNA". Lineage: Bacteria; Pseudomonadati; Pseudomonadota; Gammaproteobacteria; Enterobacterales; Enterobacteriaceae. The record is from RNAcentral.